GGCUGGAUACAGACCCAACUGAAUACAUAUAAACACAAGAGGAAUAAAGUGGAAUAAACAAAAGGUUAAAUUAAAUUAGAGCUUAUCUCUACUGUAUUCAAACUAAUAAAAGCAAGGAUAACAACCUGUAAACUGGUAUUAACAAUGAAACAUAGUUAGGAUGAAGACCAUGCCCAGAAUGAAUAGAAUGAAAGAAAAUACAUAACUCACACAAACACAUAUUAAAUGAAAUAGAGAGAUGCAUAAGGUAUAUUAAGGUUGUGUCAUUGUUCAGCCAAGGAAAGUGUGUGAAAAGGAAAAUGUCUCCAGCUUGGGAAGGGUGAAACUGCAGAUCACCCCAUCCCUCGAUGGAUGCAAAAUAAAAUAUAAAUAAAAUAUUGUAAUAUACUAUUGCUGUUAUAUAAAAAGAUAAUAACAUUAACAUAAUAUUAAUAUGAAGAGGCACCUCAGUCAGCUAUGAUGUGAGGUGGAUAAUUGUUAAAAGUAGUCUGCAUCAAGCUUAAGGUUUGCUCAAAUUCAGUACAAUGACAUAUGAGAUGAAGAAAAUAAAGAAAAUAUGUAAACUAAUUAAGUGCAUAGAGGCACUUGACCUGCUUGAAAACCUGUCAUCCUAGAUGAGACAUUGUUGGGAUAUAGAGCACACCUAUACUAACACCUAAAAACCCUGUAUACAACAGCUAAAGCUACACAAUUGAGAAGCUGAAUUAAAUAUAUGGUCACUGCUAAGCUGAUGAGCAGGUUACACAUUUUUUAGAGCAGGAGCUGCAUAAGAACACAUCAGAGGGAGGGAAACAGCUAUUAAAGCUCAAACAUGAAGCUGUCUGUGGGCUCAGUUUUUUUCCCUCACGCUUCUGAUUUGUUUUUGGCAGCAGCCUUUUUGCAUCCUGACUUAUGUGUGUAAAGCGUUUAAGCCAUCAAUAAGUUGUUUUUGUUUUGUUUUGUUUUUUGUUUUGUUGGUUUGAAAAAUGAAUAAAUCUGUGAUCAUACUUGUGGAUCAUAGUGGCACAUAAUGAUUAGGCAUAUGAUUUACUAAUGCAGAUGUAAUAACUUUAUUCUAAAAUUCAAGGAGAACAAACAAGAACAACAUCUUCAGUUGUGUCUUGUUGUUGUUCUCUGUGCAGUGUGCUGAGUUUUGUUUUUGUUUCUUUUGUUUUUGAACUGUUGCUUGAGUGAUGAGUGCUGUAACUUCUGAAGUGGCUCUCACCAUGUGUCCUUGAUGAUGAUAAGUUCAGAGCCAGCUGAGAGCUGGGUUGUCUGUUUUGUUUUAGGUGACAAGCCAGAAAAGUUAAAACUUAGUUUCUUGUUUAAAAAAAAAAAAAAAAAAGGGGGGAAAGGGAGGUUUUGUGUUUCUCAACCAAGAACAACUACAAUUUCAUUUUCUGUUUUUGAGAAAGGAGAAUUUAUAAUAAUAAUAAUAAUAAUGAUAAUAAUAAUAAUAAUAAUAAUAACAAUAAUAAUAAUAAUAAAACAAAGAGUGAUGUUUUGUUUAAGUGGUGAAGACAGCUAAUACUGCAAUAUACCGUCUAGUGCAUGAUCCGUGAGCAAUAAAUGAAAUCAUCUUAUUUAUCUUUAAAUAAACUCCAAUUAUGGAGACCUGAAGUCACAUGCUUAGGGCACACCCUCUCAGGUGAAGGCAGAAAGCUACUAAACAAAGAAAAGAAGCUAUACAAAAUGCGCCACAGCCACAAACUAAGCAUUCAUAUUCUUUUCUAACUCUUAGUGAGCCAGAGUUAUGACCUUGGCUCCCUGUUUUCUGCUUCCACCAAAGGUGGGGUGACGCUCCGUGGCAUGUGCUCUGUUCUCUUUACUAUCACAAAGAAAAAAAAAAAAGAGAGAGGCCCCUACUCUCUGAAUACAAUAUUCUUUUCAUAACUCGGCAGUAUGAAAUGUCAUGAAACAGUGUAACUCACUCACAAUAAAUCAGCAGCAUAGGAUAAUACAAACCUAUCUAAUAAAUCUAAUGAUUUUCACAUUCUUUUAACUCAGAAGUAUGAUGUGGCCUACAGCAGUAUCAUGAUUCACUCAUUUUGAUUAUAGGUAUAAUGUAAUAUAUAACAGCAUAAUAAUCUCACAACUGCUACAAGCACAUUUGCCUUUCUUAACACACGCGAGAGAAAGGCAACUGUUGAGAAAAUGCUCUUUUGGGUGAGACAGUCCCAGAGGCCUUGCAUGCAAGCUACUAACACACAUACAUGCAAUGAAGAACAGCUUACACUACAGCACACACUAUACAUGUGCCUAUAUCUCUCAUUAGUGUUAAAACAGGGAAAACUUAAUAGUUUUGUUAUCAAAUGCUGAAUUUAUCCACUGCUGACAUUUAACUCUCCAGCUUGCAGGACAAUAGGUGAAACGUUUGUGAAAAUAGAAAAGAAAAAGAAAAAUCAAAUAAAAGAGAGAGUCUGGUAUGACCAAGUAGUAAUCAGACAAAUUUAGUUGGUAAUACAACAAAUUGUGAGAUGUUUUCUGCUGAUUGAACAACACAAGUGAUUACUGACGAUGUUCUUAAGAAUUUAAAUAUCUACCUGUGUUGUCCUGUCAACUUGGUGGGUUAUGAGUUGAUUAUAUUGUGAGGAAAAAAAAAAAAGGGGAGAGAAGGCUGACACAGGGCCUGGCCCGGUGUUUCUCCCUCUCUGAAUAACACAGCCAAUACAACAUCAUUUUCCUGUUCGUCUGUUUUUGUUUUGUUUUUGUUUUCUCUUUAUGUUUAAUUACAGGCUGCUUUGCCGGUCCUGAAAGCUGAAGCUGACCUGGACUCCUGCUCUCCCUCUACCAUCUUUGACGUGACCCUGACCAAAUGCUGCAGCAGCUAGACCCAUAACAACAAUCUGAAAAUGUCAACAGUGCUACAGGAAAGCGAUCUCAUGCAGCAGAGAUGGAGAGCGUUAAAUCCUAGGCCCGUUUCACUACACGGGGAAAUUUCCAGACAGCUUCAGCUGACAGAGCUGUGACGAGACGCCCAUUAAGCCCGAAUGAAAAGUAAGGCCGAGCAAAAGAAUGCUGACCUUGAUAACUCUGCAAUAACACUGUGCAGGACAGUGAUGGACCAACACGGAUGAUCGGGCAGCAGAAGAAAAGGCGUGCCAGAGACAGGAGGAGCAACUGAGGUCAAAAGGCACCUCAGAAUGGACAAAACACAGAAGAAGAUGCAGGUUUCACCUGCGGUGAGCAUGGACACUGGAGAAAGGACUGCCCCAAUUGGGGCCAGGACCAGGACAGACUGAACUUUGAGCAGCAGCAGCAAUGGUCGCAACCGGACUGAAAAGGAGGAGGGCAGGACUCCAGGGCACGCUUCAGGCCAUGGUUUACCCAAAACACCAGAACAGGAAAGUGAUAAACACACCAACAUACACAUCUACACACACACCAGACAAUGUACACUCAUCAAACAUGACUGAUGCCCUGAACACCUUGAGACAGAUCAAGCAGGCCCAAAAUCAGGACUAUGUAAGUAAUACAAGUGACUGGUUUUCUUGGCUUUACACUGGCUCCUGGCUACAGCUGCUAAAAAGACUACUACUGCCUUUUCACUGUGCAAUACGUUUUGUUAAAAACCAACGGUGCAAUAGACUUCAAUAUUUGAAAUACUUGAAAUACUUGCAAAUCCUUUGUAUUCUUAUUCUUAUUUAUUCUAUUUAUCCUUUUUUUUUAUUCUUACUUUUAUUUUGUGUUUUUGUAACAUGUAUCCUGCCAUGUCUAAAACUCAUGAUUAACCGUAUAAUUGUUUCCACUGUUGCUGCAUACAUAGCCGUGACAAAUGAUGAUGAUGAUGACCCCGACCGGUUGGAACAUGAAGACUUUGUGUGAUUAAUGAUGGUGUGAUAGAAACUGUGCAACAAGAUGUUACAUACUGAUAUCUCACUUGAAAGUUAUACUGACAACAGGAGGGAAUGUCAAUGGAAAAUUGUACUUAGUAGUCAGUAUAAGCUUUUAAUGAUAUAAGUUUGCAUAUGAUAGAAUACUGUAUGUUGACCUCUGAUGACUUAGACUGUUGUCCACUACAAGACUGUUUUAUAAAUUCUUUCUCACAGCGAUAAUAGCUGAACAAGCAGGAAGAGGAGAGCUGGACACUUUUAUCUGCGCUCUCUAACAAGAAGAAGGGCCGCGUCCUUCUGAAUCUCACAACACACACGCAUACAUCUGAACCACUCUUAUCUUCACCCCCAC
Long non-coding RNA from Oreochromis aureus, 4164 nucleotides. The record is from Ensembl. Lineage: Eukaryota; Metazoa; Chordata; Actinopteri; Cichliformes; Cichlidae.